RNAcentral lists this microRNA (22 nucleotides) under Rattus norvegicus (Norway rat). RNAcentral describes it as "rno-miR-20b-3p". Its record names the gene rno-miR-20b-3p. Lineage: Eukaryota; Metazoa; Chordata; Mammalia; Rodentia; Muridae. The record is from miRBase by way of RNAcentral.
ACUGCAGUGUGAGCACUUCUGG